This 22-nucleotide microRNA is filed under the name Mus musculus (house mouse). RNAcentral's name for it is "mmu-miR-763". Its record names the gene mmu-miR-763. Lineage: Eukaryota; Metazoa; Chordata; Mammalia; Rodentia; Muridae. The record is from miRBase by way of RNAcentral.
CCAGCUGGGAAGAACCAGUGGC